AUGCCUAUUGGACUCAAUCUAUUACGCUCACUAAGUAUAUACAUUGUGUUCAGCCACUAUCAGACUUUGGUGGCAUGCUCCAGCUGCCAAACUAUGCUCUGCCAACCUACCGAUGGAAAGGCGAGGCUCACCAAGGGAUGCCUUAUUAUGGCAAAAAAUGAAGCCCUUCUUAAGAUUGUUUACUACUACGUAUCCUCGAUGUGGGGAGACCGACCACAAGAGGGUAAUCGGUCUUAUGUCACCUUUAUCUUCGCAGGAGUCAGGAGCAAGCAAAUUACUUUGACAUUUAGCAUAUAUUUACUAGAGUUUCAGAAGGUCAAUAAUACCCAAUGCAUUGCCUUCCAUGACCUACCUUGGUCUAUUCUCAUGGGUGAUCUGCUAACUCAUUUUAAUUCGGUGCCUAGGUACUAUUUCCUUCGGCAUUCUGUUUUAUAA
Molecule: ribosomal RNA, 435 nt
Filed under: Triticum aestivum (bread wheat)
Lineage: Eukaryota; Viridiplantae; Streptophyta; Magnoliopsida; Poales; Poaceae
Description: partial small subunit ribosomal RNA
Source: RNAcentral